Molecule: unclassified non-coding RNA, 142 nt
Filed under: uncultured Mortierella
Lineage: Eukaryota; Fungi; Mortierellomycota; Mortierellomycetes; Mortierellales; Mortierellaceae
Description: sequence contains ITS1
Source: RNAcentral
CCGAGUUGUUAGUUGCACUAUGCAACGCACUCCCACCCUUGUGUGCAAUGUCAGUCGAUCUUCUUCAUGGAGGUCGGCCAAACAUCAACCUUAUCUUUUAACUCUUUGUCUGAAAAAUAUUAUGAAUAAACAAUUCAAAAUA